AGGACGAACGCUGGCGGCGUGCUUAACACAUGCAAGUCGAACGAGGUGCUUGCACCUAGUGGCGAACGGGUGAGUAACACGUGAGCAACCUGCCCUUGGCUCUGGGAUAGCCUCCGGAAACGGGGAUUAAUACCGGACAUGACCUUGGUCUGCAUGGACUGAGGUGGAAAGUUUUUCGGCCAGGGAUGGGCUCGCGGCCUAUCAGCUUGUUGGGGGGGUAACGGCCCACCAAGGCGACGACGGGUAGCCGGCCUGAGAGGGCGACCGGCCACACUGGGACUGAGACACGGCCCAGACUCCUACGGGAGGCAGCAGUGGGGAAUAUUGCACAAUGGGCGAAAGCCUGAUGCAGCGACGCCGCGUGCGGGAUGAAGGCCUUCGGGUUGUAAACCGCUUUCACCAGGGACGAAGCGAGAGUGACGGUACCUGGGGAAGAAGCGCCGGCUAACGUACGUGCCAGCAGCCGC
Molecule: ribosomal RNA, 467 nt
Filed under: uncultured bacterium
Lineage: Bacteria
Description: SSU rRNA
Rfam family: Bacterial small subunit ribosomal RNA
Source: RNAcentral